GCCGCCUUAGCUCAGUUGGUUAGAGCGCCUGCUUGUGGAGCAGGAGGUCUCUGGUUCGAGACCAGAAGGCGGUACCA
RNAcentral lists this transfer RNA (77 nucleotides) under Algimonas arctica. RNAcentral's name for it is "tRNA-His". It matches the Rfam family "tRNA". Rfam says of the family: Transfer RNA (tRNA) molecules are approximately 80 nucleotides in length. Their secondary structure includes four short double-helical elements and three loops (D, anti-codon, and T loops). The record is from RNAcentral. RNAcentral also lists the same sequence under 1 other name. Lineage: Bacteria; Pseudomonadati; Pseudomonadota; Alphaproteobacteria; Maricaulales; Robiginitomaculaceae.